AUAAAAUUUGCCCUCUUAACCAUUUUUAAAUGUAUAGUUCAGUGGCAUUAAGGACAUUCACAUUGUUGUGCAGCCAUCAGCGGCAUCCAUCUCCAGAGCACUUUUCAUCUUGCAAAACUGAAGCUUUGUACUCAUUACACAACAACUCCCCAUUUGACCGCCUUCAUAUAAGUGGACUCAGUUGACCCUUGAACAACAUGGGUUUGAAUCAUGCAGUUCCACUUAUUUGGAGUUUCUUUCACCACUGCCACCCCUGAGACAGCAAGACCAACCCCUUCCUCCUGCCUCUCUCCCUCAGCCUGCUCAACAUGAAGAUGACAAGGAUGAUACUUCCAGCUAAUAAAAAGCAUGGAAAGGAAGCCCUUCAUGACAUUGCUUUGAAACUGAGGACAAGACGAGAUAGACGGACAGAAUGGUCAGAGCCGGGAGGAGGGGAGAGGAAACAACCAAGGACUUCCGCCACAGACAGCCAGCAGCCAUGACCUGGGGCCUGGCCCGGGGCGGGCCCUCCUGCCACAUGGAACACGGGGUCAGAGGAAUACAAAACCAUUGCAAAGGCUCCUAAGGCCUGGCAGCCGCCCCUAAAGCUGGACCUGGAAGGAAACAGAUAAGAUGAAGCAAGAGUGACACCGAUACAUAAGUGACAGCAGGAGUAAAAACACCCGUGCGUUAGGAGUCCAGAUGUGGCCCCGCAGGCCGUCAGCUUGGCCCGCCCCAUCCUGGCUCCUCCGAGCAGCCCUGCUUCCCACCCUGAGCCUGGUCCUGCCUCAGGUUGGGCUCAGCCACGUGGAUGGGAAACGACCUCUGUGGUCCACUCACUCGCUUCCGAGGAGGCCACAGGGCAAGAUGCUUGUGACGGGUCCCUUGCGCGCACCUGAGGCUGGUGGUGGGGCUGUCGAGGCGUCCAGCAAGCCAGCAGGCUGGCCGCAGAGAGGCCAGCUGCUGGGUGUGUGGGUGGGCAGAAAGAGCAGGGGGCAGGGAGCUGGGGGCACUGGGUGCCUGGGCUCUGCCACCCACAGGUGGGCAGCCUUGGUCUCCCGGGCCCUCGGCCUCCUCUUCUGCGAAACAAGAGGGUGGAACUAGAUGAGGUCUGAAUUCCCGUGGAGAUUUUGUGACAGAGGCUGGAAAAUGCCCUUCCCACGAGACUCUUCUCUACGUGGCAGUACCUGAAACUCCACCAUUAGAGCGACAUUCUCUGAGGUCAGGCACCGCCCUCCCAGGGCCUCAGCACAGGCAUGGCCAGGAGGAGAGGGGGAGAUGCGAUCCUGCUGCGGAGCCGGCGUCCAGGCUCCCUCCCAGCGUGGCCACAGUAGGCCCUCCCCACACAACGGCUCAUCCCACCAGGACCCCAAGGGGCCUCUUCCUCCAAGCCCUGGGCCAGCCCAGAAGGCAGAGGGGGCAAGGUGUGGGCUCCACAGAGGCCCCUCCAAACCCCCCAACACACAGUGACUUCUAAAGUGACUUCACACACCUAGCCUUCUGCUGUCAGGAUGGAUUUCCAUACCUCGGUGGCUUUGUUAAGUUUAAAAAUAAUUCACUAUGUGAGCACUUGAAAUCACAGAAAUCCUCAACACCCCCAGCCCCAGAGCCAUCUGGUCAAUCUCGUACUCCUGUCUUUGCUGCCUGGACCUUCAUUCCUAUAAGCCGUCGUCUGGCCUCUCCUCUGCAUGCCCUUUCUGCCCUGUGGAGCUCACACUGGGCCACAGCUUUCUCCUGAGGCCCCCAGUCACUGCUGCCUUCACCUCUGGCCAGCCCACUUGUCCACCCAGGAGUCCUCAGGUGGAGGAGCUCUAAGCCAGUGAAGGGCUGAGCCCAGGGGGACUUCAGGAUGUGUGAGCUCAUGCACACGCACAUAUAUGCACUGACCCUAAGAGCCGUGAAGUCCCCUGGUGGGGAGGGGUGCUGGGCAGAUGGACAGUCCAUGGCUGAGUGACAGGUGCGAUGGGACUCACAUGGCUGCCCUGAGGGGUGCUGUCUGUCUUGCCCACAGUCUGAGCCAGAGAGUGGGUCCUGGCCACCAGGCACAGGAGGAGGGGCACAGGUGCCGUGGAGCAUCGCAGGUGCUGUCUAGACUGAGGAGGACCCCUGGCCACAGAAGGCAUGGCUGUGGCUCUGUUCCUCCUAGCCCCUUGUGAGGGUCACCUGUGGGGUGGAGGGGGCCGCUGGGCAGAUGAUCUGCAGGGAAUGGCCACAGAGGCACAGGGGAAUGUGAUAGGGGCUCUGUCAGAAUCUGAGUUCAAGGAUGAGGUGAGGCCCCAGAGGGCGAGGCCUGUGCCUCUUACCAACACACACGGUUCUCAUCCACACAGGCCUUCGUGCAUGGCCUGCAGAGCUGUGAGGGGGUGGGGGCGCCUCUAUAUCCCUGGACACCAGACUGUCUUGGGACUGGACCCCAGUGCUCCUUAGGCCUCUUCUGUCUGAGCAGGGACCCCAGAGGGGACACCCCUGUGAUGGGUGACCCUGGUCACUGAUGAGGGGCUGCGUCCUCCUCAGGUGGCUGUUCUGUCCCUGCCCUGAGCCAUUUCUUGUCCUGUCCUACUGGGCCCCAUGGAGUGAAUGGCUUGG
Molecule: long non-coding RNA, 2565 nt
Organism: Symphalangus syndactylus (siamang)
Lineage: Eukaryota; Metazoa; Chordata; Mammalia; Primates; Hylobatidae
Source: RefSeq, a predicted model, not a curated record